AAUGGUGUAAUUUAAACAAAAUAUCGCUCUGCAAAGGUGAGUUUGCUCUUUGAGUCGCCAUUU
This 63-nucleotide transfer RNA is filed under the name Amphibalanus improvisus. RNAcentral's name for it is "tRNA-Cys". The record is from RNAcentral. Lineage: Eukaryota; Metazoa; Arthropoda; Thecostraca; Balanomorpha; Balanidae.